Molecule: ribosomal RNA, 459 nt
Filed under: uncultured bacterium
Lineage: Bacteria
Description: partial 16S ribosomal RNA
Rfam family: Bacterial small subunit ribosomal RNA
Source: RNAcentral
AGUGAACGCUGGCGGCAGGCCUAACACAUGCAAGUCGAGCGGCAGCGGGUCCUUCGGGAUGCCGGCGAGCGGCGGACGGGUGAGGAAUGCGUCGGAAUCUGCCUUUUUGUGGGGGAUAACGUAGGGAAACUUACGCUAAUACCGCAUACGACCUACGGGUGAAAGUGGGGGACCGCAAGGCCUCACGCCGAAAGAUGAGCCGACGUCGGAUUAGCUAGUUGGCGGGGUAAAGGCCCACCAAGGCGACGAUCCGUAGCUGGUCUGAGAGGAGGAUCAGCCAGACCGGGACUGCGACACGGCGCGGACUAUACCGGGAGGCAGGCGGGGCUAAUAGUGCAAUACGGGCGAAAGCAGGAUACAGUAAGGCCGCGGGGGUGGUGAGGGCCGGAGGGAGGAAAAGCCCUCGAACCAGGGAGCAUAAGGACGGGGCCGGGAGAAUAGGACCCGGCAAACGCCAGC